This is an RNA transcript of Brassica rapa (field mustard), 11226 nucleotides long. It is a transcript of the gene named tRNA(His) guanylyltransferase 1, with no coding region annotated. NCBI's taxonomy places the organism in Eukaryota, Viridiplantae, Streptophyta, Magnoliopsida, Brassicales, Brassicaceae. The record is from RefSeq and is a predicted model, not a curated record.
UAAAGGUUUAGGGUUUAGGGUUUAAUAUUUGUUGGCAGCGUUAAAAAUACUUUUGAAAAACAAAUUCUUUUUUUUUUGCGAUUAAAAAAUCUUCUUUUUGUGAUUAAUACAAUUUUUAUUUUAAAAAUAUAAUAUAAUUCGAUAAUAUUUUGUUUCCUUUUUUUAAAGAUACUGAAUUUAAAAUAACACAAUCUUAUUGGUUGGUGAACCUGUAGGUUCACUUAGGGGGUGAACCCUAGAAUAAGUCAUUACUAUUUUUAACACAUGCAUACGAUUAUACUAAAGCACAUAAAUGAAAAUCCUGUCCAUUUGGAAUUCUAAUCACAUUUCAUAUUCUUAUAACUAUUCUAAUAUAUUACCCAAAAAAAAUAUUAUUAACUUGACAUUAAUCUUUAAGAAAAUUGUAUUAUCUCUUCUAUUAAAAUAGAAAUCACAACCUAAUUUCGUGUGUGAUUUUUUAAGUUGGACCGUCUCUUAGGAAAAUUACUUAAAUGAAUUAUUUUAACUAUUCUAAAUAUCAAAUAGAUAUUUCGUUAUUUCUCUGAAUUACAUUUAAAUAAAAUCAUUCAUAUCCUUUUAUUUAAAAUAUAAAUAUAUAUAUAAUAUGUUUCAUUAAGGCAAAUAUUUAAUUACUUUAUUUUUUAUUUAUAAUAUAAAUGUAUAUGUUGUUUUUCACUUAAACAAACCUUUUAAAUAUUUAAUUAAUUUUGUAAUUAUUAAAAUAUAAAUGUAUAUUUCAUUUUUACUAAAAUAAACCUUCUAAGUAUCUAAUUGAUUUUUUUAAUUAUAUUAAACUCAAAUACAAUUUUGUAUUAAAUUUGUGAUAUUAAUUUAAAAUAAUAUAUUUCAACUAAAUCUUUAAUCUCUAACAGUUAUGAUUUGUUAAUUUAUAAUUUGGUACCACAAUGUUGAAAAUAUGCUAUCAAUAUGAACGAUCGGUCUACAAAUGCUAUUUUGAAAGUGGAUUCAGUUUUUAUUAUAAAAUAUAGUGGCCGGUUUUGAUUUUUUUUUAUUAAUAAUAAAAGUAUAUGUUUGCUUUGUUUAAAAGUAUAGAUCAUAUUCAUAUAUUAUUCAUUAAUGUAAUUGUUUUUGUUUAUUUUAUCUUGUGUAAUGGGUAUUGUAACAAUUUAUGUCAUUAACAUAAAUAACAGAGGAACGAUUGAAAAAUAUAUUACAUGUAAAUAUUUUUCUUUUCAGUGUGGUUAUUAUCAAAUGUAGUUGUAGGCUUAAAUGUUAAUUAUAUAACAUGAUGUAUGAUAGAUGAAGAAUUGCAAAUAAAAAUUUAACAGUGAGAGAUUCAUUGUAAAUAAUCCAAGACUUUUGGGGUUGAAAAGUCUAAAUCACCGAUACACAUCAUAAGAAACCGAAAAACAUAGAUAAUAAAGAGAAAAUUCAGGUUGAAAAAGACAAUAAAAUACACUUGCAUUAUAAUUUCCGGUUUAAUAAUUUAAAUGAAGUGGAUUUUUUUUAUAAAUUACACUUAAUAUAGGUUAUGCAGUCAAAGAUUUAAUUCAUACAAAUAAUUUGAUUAACACAUAGGUAUCACCUAAACUUAAAAUACAAGUAUAAUCGUAAGGAAAUUAAUAUCUAAUUUAAUAUUUAAUUGAACGGAUCACCCCCUAUGGCUUUUUAGUCUAAUCUCAUAUUGUACCAUUUUUGACUAUAAUAUCAUUUAAUAUUUUUGAAAAUAAAUUAAAUAAAUAGUUUUACAAACAAAAUUUUUUUUGGAAAAAUAGUAACUACUGAUAAAAUACCUAUAUGAACUUAGUAGUAUUUUUUUCAGUUCUAAAAAUAUUUAAAUCAUAAUUUCGAAUUAUGUUCUAAACUUAGUAGAAUUGAGAUUCUACGAAGUAGAAAACGAAAUCCACUAUUUUCAUUGAAUCUACAAUGUUUAGAAUACAUAUUCCGCGCUUAACCUACCGAUCUAAAACAUGUAGAAACCGACUUCUACAUAUUUACUAUAAAUUUAAAACAUGUAAAAACUGACUUCUACAGAUUUACUGUAAAUCUAAAACGUGUAGAAAUCAAAAUCUACACAUUACUAAAAUUCUAAAAAAUCUGUUGAAACCGAUUUCUACAGAUUAACUGUAUUCUCCAGAUAAGAAUAAGGGAAUAAUCAGUUCCGAAAUAUAAGGAAAAAAAUAUUUGAAAAUAUUCAGUUUUCUAUUUUGAAAAUCGAUUUUUUUUUAAUUAAGAAAAAAAAAAACAGUUGUCUGCAACUUGGUAAGAGUAAGUAUAUAUGAUUAUGCUAUAUAUGAAUUGAGUUUGUACGUUUGUUAUGGUUUAACAAGUUUACGAAUAUGGUUUUAUAGCAUAACAUAUUCUUAUAAUCUGUGUAUGAGUCUAUUAUAUACAAAUUAAUUAAUAUAUAUUUUGUACCUUUGAAGUUUCAGGGUAGUGAUGACUGCACGUGAAGGGGAUGGAGAAGAAUACCAAAACGCAAGUUAAAAAAAUCCCAAGAUAUGUUUUCUUUUAUUUUCAAUAGGAUUUUUUUUUUUCUUUUUACUGGGCAUCAGAUUGCAAAACUUUCGAAUUAAUACUUUCAGUAAAAGUUUAAUGUGUUUUUAUUAUUUAUUUUCGUUUUUAUUUUAAUUUUAGUAUAUUAACAAUAAAUAAAUUUAUAUUUUAAAGAAGACUUAUUUACAAAAAAAAAAAUUAUAAACAAAACUAUUAGCCUACCAUUAGUAUAUUAACAAUAACCUAUCAUUUUUUAUUAUAUUUAAAAAUUAGAAUUUUAAGAGUAUUAUUGUUAUUUUGAAAAUAUUAACUUAAUGGAACAUAAAGUAUAUGAAAUUAGUCUAAAAAAAUAUAGUUAGGCGUACCCAGUGACCAGUUCUUUAGUUGUUUGUGUUAUCGAUGGCUUGCGUUUGAGUUUUUAUACACUAACGUUUUGGUCAGGCUCAGUUAACUGUAGGGUUUUUAGUUUACUUCCAUUUCACCGAUCAUUAAGAACUGGUCACCGGGUACGCCUAACUCUACCGGGUCCAGCUCUCGCUAUAACUGCGGGUCGAUUCUGCGGCAAGCGAUUGUCCCUCCCGACUGUAUCCUUUGUGUUCUGCAGUUGUGUUUGAUGUCAUUUCAUGUGUUUCCUUAGGUUUGAGUUUGUGUUAGUUUUAUUUAUGUUGAUCUGCUACUAGUAUACUCUGUCAAUGUCUGUAAAAAACUUAAAACUGGUAAUGAAAUCUUAACAUUUUUUACCAAAAAAAAAAAAAAAUAUAUAUAUAGUUUAUUUAGUCGAAGAAUCUACGAUUAAUUUUGUUUCUUUAGUUGUGUGGACCUUUUGUUUUGUCUUUAGUUGUUUGUGUUAUCGUUGGCUUGCGUUUGAGUUUUUAUACACUAACGUUUUGGUCAGGCUCAGUUAACUGUAGGGUUUUUAGUUUACUUCCAUUUCACCUACUUAAGCAAUUAAAAAACAAUUAUAGCAUGAAAUUAAAAGUCCCUAAUUAAAUUAAGUGGAAUCAGUAAAUGACAAAAAGCCCAAAGACAGAAGAAGCAGCCCAGUAAGAGAAAGGAAGCGUCGAAGCUCAGUGGAAGGAAGAGGCGUAGAAAGCAGAAUGUUUUGAUAUGGCGAAUAGCAAGUACGAGUAUGUCAAGUCAUUCGAACUGGAAGAUGAAGUCAUGCUUCUGAUACAGUUAAACGUAACAGGGAAAGUAGAAGAAGAUGAACAGUAACUCGUAUUGAUUCGAUCCAAUGUUUACACAAAGAAUCGACUCUCACUCGCCAAGAGAUACAUGUAGAAACACUCUAGAUCUGAGAUGAGGAAUCAAUGGUGAUUUUCCUAGAAAAUCACCAAGAAAAUAUAGAGAACAUAGAUGAAGAAGAUAACAAACUUUCUUGACUAUUUUCGAUGAUUCUAACUUCUGUUUUCUCCAGCUAUAUAUCAACUCAAUCUUGCUGACGUGUCACUAUUAGCACCACCACUUUUCCUAUAGCAGCUUCCUAAUUUGAUCCUUGUUCGGAUCGAUGGUCGUGAUUUUUCUAGGUAAAGUCUCUCUCGAGCUUUUUCAAGGAAGUAGGAUGUUCUGUUCUUAAGUUAGUAUUGAUUUUGGUUCUACUCAGAAGUUGUAUUCUUUUUAGGUCUUGUUGAUUUUUAGUCUCUCUGGAACUGUAUAGGGAACAUGUAUUUGUUGUAGCUUUCACAAUUUGAAUGUGGACAUUACUUGUAUUUGUUCUAGUUUCAACACUUUAUGAGUCGAUAGUGUUUCAUGGAAACUUUUAACUUUUGAUAGGUUUUCCCAAGUUCAUGAGUUUGAGAAGCCUAAUGAUGAAGCAGCCCUCAAUCUUUUGAAUUCAUGUUCAGCUGCGGUUUUGGAAGAGUUUCCUGAUAUCAUCUUUGCUUAUGGAUACAGUGAUGAAUACAGGUUCCAAAGCUCACUUUGUUUGACUUUAUUUGUCUUAGGUUUUUACACUCUCACUCAUUCUCUACUAUUUUCCUUGUCUUCCGUAGCUUUGUGUUCAAGAAAACAUCAAGAUUCUACCAGAGACGAGCCAGGUCUUGAUUCAUCUAAAACUUGAUCGAUAUAUAAUAAAAACCUUUUGCAGAAUAAUAUGUGCUUUGCAUUUCUCUGAUUGACUCUUACUCUUUACACUACCGUUUUUUGUUUAAUACGCAGUAAGAUUUUGUCGUUGGUAGCUUCCUUCUUUGCUGCAGUCUACGUAACAAAAUGGAAAGAGUUCUUUCCCCAAAGAAAACUGGAAUAUACUCCUUCUUUCACCUCAAAAGUCGUAAGUUGUGCAUCGCCAGAGGUUCUUCAAGCUUAUCUCGCGUGGAGACAACAAGAUUGUAAGACAUACUGAGCUCAGAAAUAAUGCCACGCCAAUAAUCAAUACGAAACUUGUUUUUGGAUGUUAGUUAAAAGUGGAAUGACCAUAAGCGAAGCACAAGAGCUUCUUAAGGUGUGUUGUUAGUGCUUUAAAUUGCUCUUUUUACCUUCUUUGCAUUGUUAUUUCAUUGUUUGUCUAUUUCCAUUGGAUACCUGCAGGAUACACAAAAGCAGCAGAAAAAUGAGCUUCUCUUUCACAAGUUUGGUAUCAAUUACAAAACGCUUCCUGAAUUGUUUCGACAAGGAUCAUGUCUCUUCAAGAAAAAGGUGGAAGAAACUGUAAAGCAUGAUGAGAAUGGCAAUCCUGUAAAAAGAUUGAGGAGAAAGGCUGUGUUGGUACACUCAGAGAAUAUUGCUGCAAGAAGCUUUUGGAAUGAGCACCCGUCCCUAUAUAAUGAUCUUGGUCACUUCUCGAAAGAUAUUGGCAGAGUUGAACCAGAUUUCGUUAGAUCGUUUCAGUUCGAGAACAAAUUGUUACCUCUAACUUGGGUCGUUGUUAGGAUUGACGGCUCUCACUUUCACAGGUAAUCUUUUUUUUUUUUUUUGCCUUAAACUAGUCAUGUCCUUGUGCUCCCUAGGAUUCAGCUAUGUCAUGAAUUGGUUUACUUCUUUAGCUGGCCUCUUUAGUUUGCUGAUGUUUUUUUGCCUCAAACUAGUUCUUGAAUCCUAACUUGCAUUUUCAUCACUAAUCAACUAACGUUAUAUGUUGAAAAUUUAUUUUGUGGAGCUUGGCUUGGGGUUUUGGUAGGUUUUCUGACGUUCAUGAAUUUGAGAAGCCAAAUGAUGAGCAAGCUCUGAAACUUAUGAAUUCAUGUGCAGUGGCUGUUCUCCAGGAGUUUGAGGAUAUUCACUUUGGCUAUGGUGUGAGUGAUGAGUACAGAGAGUAUAUGUGAGGAAAAGAAGAGAAAGAGAGAACAGAGGAGAGGAGGAAGAACAGAGUGUUGGCCGUUAGAGUUUGAUGACGUGGAUUAUUCUGUUACGAGUAUUAGAGAGUAAGAGGAUUGUACUUGGGCCUUGGUAUAUAAGAGGACCCAGGUAAGAGAGGUUAGUCAGUCAGUUAGAGAGUCUUGGGCUUGCCCUUGAUUGUGAGAGAGAUUGUAUUUGGCUUAGUACUUCGACUUGUGGAGUCUAAGAGGGGUGGUUGGGUGGAUCUUAAUCAAUAAACAUCUCAGUUCUAACAAAUUGGUGCGAGUGAGCGCUCUGGAUCGAGAACCAUCGCGACGAUGACGAAGAGGACGAAGGAUAUCGGCGACGGUCAGGCGGAUCCUCCGAUCACCUUGGAUUUGCUUGCGGCGACGUUGCGAGAUCAGUCGACGGUUCAGAUCGAGACGAAUCGGCGAUUCACCGAAUCUUUUUUCGAGUUGGAGAAAAAUGCGAAGGAGAUGGAAUCGCGAAUCGAAGCCUCGAUUGAAUCAAGGAUUGAAGCGUGUUACGAGAAGAUGUGCUCGCGGUUGGAGAAGAAGCUUUCUAAAACGAUCGAGGUUUCCGGUGAUUCACCUCAACCGUAUCGUCAUCCUAACUAUCAGGUACAUAACACAAACUUGGAACCUGGCCGUAGCUCUAGGAAUGAAGAUGCGGUAGAUCGAACUUCGAUUGUUGGUAACCGUGAGAGGAUGUUGAAACGAGUAGAAUUACCUGUGUAUGAUGGUUGUGAUGCGUAUGGAUGGCUAGCUCUUGCAGAACGUUUUUUCAGGAUUGGCGGUUAUGAUGACCGAGCUAAGUUGGACGUAGUCUCAGUGAGUCUAGCAGGAGAUGUACUCAGCUGGUUUAACAGUGAAUCACAUCGCAGAGGGUUCAGAAGUUGGAUGGAGUUUAAGCAGAAACUGAUAGCAAGAUUCAGCAAAGAGAAGUUCAGGGAUCCGAGUCAGCCAUUCUUUGCGGUUAAACAGACUGGUACUGCGGCUCAGUAUAUCCAUGCCUUUGAAGAUCUAUCAACGUUGGUAACUGGUCUGACAGAUACGCAGCUCGAAGGGAUAUUCAUGAAUGGGUUAAAACCUGAAAUGAGAGAAGUGGUAACGAUGUGCAAACCAGUUGACUUGGAUGAAAUGAUCUCUACAACAUAUCAGAUGGAAGACAGUGUUUUAUAUAAGGUGGUGUGUAGAGAGAGACAAGCAGAAAGGAAAGACAAUUCAAAAACAACGUCUAUGAAAUCCUUUUCUUCUGGGAAGAGUAGUUCCGGUUGGACUUUUAAGCCGACGCAGACAAAGCCAACUGAAGCAGGAGGACAGAGACCGCAAUUACGAUUGACUGAGGCUCAGAUAGCAGAGAAAAAGCGCUUGGGACUGUGUUUUUCCUGUGAUGAUAAGUGGUCAAGGCAGCAUUUGUGUCCCAACCGUACGCUUCAGGUCUUGACAGUCGUAAAUGGACUGGAGAUGGAAAUAAUGGAUCAGUCUCUAGUUGAAGUAGAGGAAGAGAUAGAAGAUACUGAAGCUUCGAUGAUGGCACUUUCCUUGAGCUCGUUCUUGGGACAGUCUUCUUCUACUACAACUAAGCUGAAGGGAGCAAUUAAGAAGAAUUCAGUGGUGGUUAUGAUAGAUAGUGGUGCGACUCAUAACUUCAUCUCACCUUCGACAGUACAGAAGACAAAACUUAAAGUUACAGAGAAUACGAAUCUGCGCGUCUUGCUUGGAACGGGAAUCUCAGUUCAAGGGACAGGAGUGUGUCAGAAAGUGACGGUGGGGUUACCAUCUAUGUCCUUUGAAGCAGAUUUUGUGGUUUUGGAGUUGGGAAAUGUUGACGUUAUCCUUGGAGUCGAAUGGUUGAGAACGUUGGGCAAAUGCAUGGUGGAUUGGGAACAGAAUGAAUGGUCUUUUGUCUAUGAGGGAGCACCGGUGACGUUAAGAGGGGAUCCAACGCUUCAUGCUCAAACCGUAUCUCUCAAAUCAUUCACAUCAGAUAACAUGGUGUGUCACAAAGGAGUUGAGAUGGAGGUACGAUCAUUGGAGGAAAAGGGUGAGACAGUGACGGAGUUACCAUUACCGAUUGCUCAGACGUUGCAGCACUAUGACGGGGUAUUUCAGAAACCGGUAGGGUUGCCUCCAAUCAGAGGUCGAGAACAUGCAAUUGUGUUGUUGGACAGCUCUAAACCGAUAAGCGUGAGACCUUACAGGUAUCCGCACGCACACAAAGAGGUGAUGGAGAGAAUGGUUAAAGAAAUGUUAGAGGAAGGGUUGAUAAGGCCGAGCCAGAGUCCGUAUUCGAGUCCGGUUCUGUUGGUUAAGAAGAAAGACAAUUCACACCGAUUCUGUGUGGAUUAUCGUGCAUUGAACCGUGCAACAGUUCCAGACAAGUAUCCAAUCCCAAUGAUUGAUCAACUGUUGGAUGAAUUACAUGGAGCUAAGAUCUUUUCAAAGUUGGAUUUGCGGGCUGGGUAUCAUCAGAUACGAAUGCAGGAAGAAGAUAUUGCGAAAACUGCAUUUCGUACGCAUGAUGGACAUUUUGAGUUCUUAGUGAUGCCUUUCGGUCUCACCAAUGCUCCGGCCACAUUCCAAGCCUUGAUGAAUGAUCUUUUCCGACAAUAUUUGCGGAGGUUUGUGUUGGUAUUUUUUGAUGAUAUCCUCAUUUACAGCAAAACAGUGGAGGAUCACGUGAAGCAUUUGGAGCUGGUGUUGGAUAUUUUCGUGGAACAACGUCUGUUUGCGAACAGGAAGAAGUGUGCGUUUGCAGAAGAGAAGGUGGAGUAUUUGGGGCAUGUGAUUACAAGCAAGGGAGUUUCAACUGAUCCCCAAAAGGUGAUAGCAGUGAAACAAUGGCAUAAUCCAAAGUCAGUCAAGGAGCUGCGAGGAUUUUUGGGUCUCACUGGCUAUUACAGAAAGUUUGUUCAGAGCUAUGGAUCGAUUGCUAAACCGUUGACAGAAUUACUGAAGAAGGAGCAGUUCUUGUGGUCAGAAUUUUCUCAACGGGCGUUUGAUAAGUUGAAGCAGGCAAUGAUCUCAGCUCCUGUACUGGCACUUCCGGAUUUCAAUAAGCUGUUCAUUGUGGAAUCAGACGCUUCGGGCUUUGGGUUGGGCGCAGUUCUUAUGCAGGAUCAACACCCAAUAGCGUAUUUCAGCAGGGGAUUAACUCAUAAAGAACAGCAGAAACCAAUCUAUGAAAGAGAAUUGAUGGCAAUUGUGAUGGCCAUUCAGAAGUGGAAACAUUAUCUCUUGGGAAGAAGAUUUAUUGUGCGGACUGAUCAACAGAGCCUAAAAUACUUGUUGGAGCAGCGUGAGAUAACACUUGACUAUCAGCGUUGGCUUACGAGAAUCUUAGGGUAUGAGUUUGACAUUGAGUAUAAGGUUGGCAGUGAGAAUAAGGUGGCAGAUGGGUUAUCUAGGAUUGAUCACACUGCUGAGGAAAGGCUGACUCUGGACUUGUUAGCAUUAACGGUUCCUUCUUCUUUGGAAUUGCAAGACUUGUAUAAAGAGAUUGAGAAGGAUGAGACUAUUCAGAAGUUGAUAAGGAGAUUCAAGGCUGAGGAGCAAGUGAAAGCGGGGUUUACGUUGGUCAAUGAGCGCUUGUUCUUUAAAAACAAACUCGUCAUUCCUGUCAAUUCCAAGUACAUUCAGUUGAUUAUGCAAGAAUGUCAUGACAGUGUUUUGGGAGGGCAUGCUGGGGUUUUGCGAACAUUACAACGGGUUCGGGACCUGUUUUACUGGCCGAAAAUGCGUAAGACAGUGCAGGAGUAUGUAGCGGCUUGUCGUGUGUGCCAAACGCAUAAAUCUUCGACUCUUUCUCCUGCUGGACUCUUGCAGCCAAUUGAGUUACCCGUGCAGAUUUGGGAGGAUGUAGCGAUGGACUUCAUUGAAGGAUUGCCUACUUCACAAGGGGUUAAUGUGAUUCUUGUGGUGGUAGACAGGCUCAGCAAGUAUGGCCAUUUCUUGACAUUAUGCCAUCCUUUCACCGCUGUGGACGUGGCAAACAAGUUUACUCAGGAGAUUAUCCGACUACAUGGCUAUCCAAAGUCCAUUAUUUCGGAUCGCGACAGAAUUUUUCUCAGCAAAUUUUGGAAGGAGUGUUUCAGGUUGUCGGGGACUAAGCUGCGGUUCAGCACAGCGUUUCAUCCGCAGUCUGACGGGCAAUCUGAGGUCCUGAAUAGAUGUUUGGAAACUUAUUUGCGUUGCUUUGCUUCCACACAUCCUAAGACGUGGGCGAAAUUUUUGCCAUGGGCGGAGCUGUGGUAUAAUACGGCGUAUCACACGGCAUUAAAAUGUACCCCUUUCAAGCUUGUGUAUGGUCGCGAUCCUCCUCAUUUGCUGUCAUAUGAAUCAGGAUCGACGGCGAAUUUUGAAGUCGAAUCGGCAUUAAGGGAAAGAGAUAGGAUGUUGGGGUCAAUAAAGGACAAUCUCUUACGGGCACAAGAGCUGAUGAAGAACAACGCUGACAAACAUCGUCGGGAUUUGGAGUUUGAGGUGGGAGCUUCAGUUUUUCUGAAACUGCGGCCGUAUCGACAGCAUUCUGUGGCUCGACGUUUGUUCCAGAAGUUGGCAGCGAGGUACUACGGUCCUUUUGAGGUGAUUGGGCGAGUUGGACAGGUGGCUUACCGUCUUCAGUUACCGGAAUCAUCUCGGAUUCAUCCGGUCUUUCACAUCUCACAGCUUAAACCGGUGAUUGGGAGUACAACGGUGGUUUCGGAGUUGCCUUCUCGGUUGGAUGAUAAUAAUGAGUUGGUUAUUGAACCAGAGGAGCUUCAGGAUACUCGUUAUGAUGAAGAAGGCCAUUUAGAAGUGUUGAUCAAAUGGCGUAAUCUUCCGGAUCAUGAGAUGUCCUGGUUGCGAGCUAGCGAAGUGAAACAUCAGUUUCCAAAAUUUUCACUUGAGGACAAGCUGAAACUCGUGAACGGGGGUAUUGAUAUGCUACAGAGAGUAUAUGUGAGGAAAAGAAGAUAAAGAGAGAACAGAGGAGAGGAGGAAGAACAGAGUGUUGGCCGUUAGAGUUUGAUGACGUGGAUUAUUCUGUUACGAGUAUUAGAGAGUAAGAGGAUUGUACUUGGGCCUUGGUAUAUAAGAAGACCCAGGUAAGAGAGGUUAGUCAGUCAGUUAGAGAGUCUUGGGCUUGCCCUUGAUUGUGAGAGAGAUUGUAUUUGGCUUAGUACUUCGACUUGUGGAGUCUAAGAGGAGUGGUUGGGUGGAUCUUAAUCAAUAAACAUCUCAGUUCUAACACAUCAUCGAUUCCAGCUUUGUUUUGAAGAGAGAAUCUGAGCUCUACCAAAGACAAUCCAGUAAGAUAAUAUCUGCAAUCGCAUCCUUGUUUACAUCCACAUAUGUGAUCAAAUGGGGAGAUUUCUUCCCUCGCAAAGAACUGAAGUACCCUCCAUCGUUUGAUGGACGAGCAGUAUGCUACCCAACGUACAAGAUUCUUUUGGAUUACUUGGCUUGGAGACAAGUUGACUGCCAUAUCAAUAAUCAGUAUAAUACAUGUUUC